Long non-coding RNA from Molossus molossus (Pallas's mastiff bat), 1668 nucleotides. RefSeq lists it as uncharacterized. The record is from RefSeq and is a predicted model, not a curated record. The transcript is spliced from 3 exons. NCBI's taxonomy places the organism in Eukaryota, Metazoa, Chordata, Mammalia, Chiroptera, Molossidae.
GGCUCCUGCUGGUAUCUCUGCAGCUCAGGGCUGCAAUCGGACCCAUGAGAAAGGGGCACUGCCUGCUUGGCCGGUGCUGAUAACGCAGAAGCCCAAGCCCAGGGGAGGAGUCCCAUCCCAUGUCAUGGGGCCUCAGACGUCUGAAGAGUGGGUGCUGCUCUCCCAGUACUGGAAACCCUGUGGCUGAAAUUAGGUUGUUUCUGGAAAUACAGAAAGCAGCCAGGGGCUGGAUCCAAUUGCAGCUGCUGGCCUGGAGGAAGAUGGCUGGGGUCAGGUAACAGUGACAAUAACCACCAUCAAAUAAGAAGAAUCAAAUUUCUCCCCUGCCCUCCACCAAGCCUGGAAGGUCCUCAGCUGCAGAAACGGACAGAAAGUCAAGUGGGAAGGAACAUGGUUUGUGCAUCUUAGCCCCAGUACCAGAGAGACAAUGAAAACAAUAAAAUGAACUUGGACUUAGGGGCACUGGCUUCAUAACUGGUACAGUGACAUUGAGGACCAGCAACUCCAUAUAGAAGUUCCUCCUUGAAGAUCAAUUUCUGAGAUGCUGACCCUCCAUAAUGGAGAGAAACGUGUGCCCUGUUUCACUACUUCUCUGCCACUCUGCCAGACAGUCCAUUCUUCACGCACCUGGAGCACUAGAGGCUGCGUUUAUCUCCGAACUGGACGUCCACUCUGAAGCCUUUCAGAGCUGCUGUCACAACGCAUGGGGCAAGUCUGGAACUCCAUUCAUUACAUCGUCUUACUUUUCUGCCUUGGCAAACAGUGUUCCUGUGGAGCUCUGCCAUUGCCCUUUCUUAAAAAUCCAGGUUUCCAGAAUGUAAAACUGUUAAUAAACACAAAGACUACUAAUUCUACUACUGUCCUCAUAUUUCUUGAGGCUACCGAUGUUAUUGAAUUCCACAUAUUAGGGAGGAAAAGUAAUAUCUGGCAGAUUUUACAUUAAUGACCCCUUCAUUGAAUCUCCCCUCUCUAUCUCCUCACAACUUGCAUGCCUGGUUGGAGAUUUUUUACCUACCAUAGGAAGCCAGUGUUAUUGUUGGAGAGGCAUCAGAUACCUGAGGUAUGUCUCAGGUGGGAUGGAGGUUGGGGAGGGCUGGGAAUAAGGUAGAAAACUACUGCAAUGAGGAGAGUAUUUUCUAGGGCACCCUGAAACAUGGGGGCUAGAUAAUAAUGACUAUUUGUACUGGGAGAUUCCACUGUGCUUGUUCUUUGCUAAAAUCAUAUUUUUUAUUCCUUACAACAAUCACACACAAGUACAAUAUUACCCCCAUUUUAUACAUGAGAAAAUUAGAAAUUAGAGAGGUUAGAUACCUGCUCUGGCUCACUGCUACCAAGUUUAACUUGUACGCAGUUCUUCCACGCUCAGAAGUCUACCAUGCUUGCCAGAGCUUAGUGAAUUUCUUGAGCUCAUAAUAUCUUUUACUUCCAAUUCUAAAGUCAUUUAAACUUUUUAGAUCCUAAAAUAUUUAAAGAUCUUUCUCUCUGGCUUUAAAUUCUUUAAUGUUGAAAUCUUGCAUGUCUUCAUAUUUUUAGUACCACAAAAAUCACAGGGAUAUUUAAAAUGAUGUACAGUUUGGUCAAAAGACAUAUUAAAAGAUGUGCAACAUCACUAAUCGUCAGAUAAAAGCAAAUUAAAGGCACAAUGAGAUACUACCUCACCCUGUCAGA